This 254-nucleotide ribosomal RNA is filed under the name uncultured bacterium. Its description in RNAcentral is "partial 16S ribosomal RNA". It matches the Rfam family "Bacterial small subunit ribosomal RNA", at positions 524 to 776 of the family's 1533-position model. The record is from RNAcentral.
UACGUAGGUGGCAAGCGUUGUCCGGAUUUACUGGGCGUAAAGAGCGCGCAGGCGGUCGUGCAAGUCGCGUGUGAAAGCCCCCGGCUCAACUGGGGAGGGUCACGCGAUACUGCUCGACUCGAAGGCAGGAGAGGGAAGUGGAAUUCCCGGUGUAGUGGUGAAAUGCGUAGAUAUCGGGAGGAACACCAGUGGCGAAGGCGACUACCUGGCCUGUUUCUUGACGCUGAGGCGCGAAAGCUAGGGGAGCAGACGGG